This is a non-coding RNA of Pelobates cultripes (western spadefoot toad), 802 nucleotides long. The record is from the annotation of a GenBank genome assembly. Lineage: Eukaryota; Metazoa; Chordata; Amphibia; Anura; Pelobatidae.
CACAAUCCAACCUCUACUGCACUUCCAUUCCAGCAGCAGAAGGGUUAACCUUGGCCCCAUUCCCUCAAUUGUCCAUUGAGUAGACCUUUUUAAAUAAGUGUCAGUUUGCAGGGGUAGACUCCUCCCCUAUAUUCUGGCUGGGGAUCCUACUGUUGCAGGUCCGCAUUAGCAGUUUACCCAGGAAAGGAACAGGAUUUCUUGCAGAUCCAGCAAGCAAAGGGGAGCAUCAUAUGCCCUCCCCUUCUCCCCCCACCCACCACCAAAAAUAUUUUUUUUAAAAAUAAAAAAAAUCAACGAUCCAGGACAUUCUAACAAGAAGACUAUAAGAGCAGGAGAGGAAACUGAUCUUUUAUCAAACUAGGAAAUCUCUGCACUUUUACUGGAGCUCUGAUUUGAUUUUUAUUUUAUUUUAUUUUUUUCUAUUUUCCUACAACUUUUGGAGAAACUUCAGACUUUUGGCACGUCCACCCUUUUUCCCGGAUUGUAGAAAGAAACUGCAGCCUGAUCGUGUGGCUGGGACUGAAGAAAACAAGGGGGAGUUGGUUACAGUUUUGGGAAGUUUUUGUCGGUUUCUAAAGUUGGGGGUCGCUGGAUUUUAAGGGGUGAUUCCCCCACGUUUGUUUUUAGGCCUUUGUCUUCUUUUCUUUUUACACAAACAUAUAUAUUUGUUGAUUCAGAGUGGGGGGGGGGCAAUGCAGAGCAGAUUGUAACAUACAAAAGACAUUCUGUUGCCGAAAGAAAACAUCUCAUUCCUAAGGAGCCUGCAGGAAGUUUGCUCUGAGAGGGAGGGGGGAGAAGCCUG